GAAAUAUCAAAAAUCUCAUUAUUUUUGCACGAGAUUGUUGGUAACAACCGUUUUGCAUUCGCGACUCUGGGAAUCGUUUGGUAAUAUUUAAUCAGCCUUACACUCUAUAAGGCCCGUUUUAUCGAAUAUUGGUCACGUUGAAUGCAAUUAAGACAAUAGAUAAUGGGAUUAUAAACCUCAUUAAGCUUUAUUAUCUAUUGUUUGAAUUGCAUUAGACGCGACCGAAAUUCGACGAAUAAAACGGGUCUUAGAGAGUUUGGUAAACACAACACCAACGGCAACGAGCUCAUCGGCAAUAGCAUCUUAACUCUAAGACAAAGGCGACCAUAAUUUGCAGCCCUUAAGCAUUCUAGUUGAUGAAAUCUUUGUCACACCAUUGAAAAUUAUCGAUAUCAUUCUCAUCAACAUCAUACAUCGCCGAUUCGGAAAAGACCAAAUCCGAGCUGCUUAUUUAUAAAUUAAAAUAUGUUACUGCAAUGCACAAUUCUUAUAUAUGGGGAGCUUAUACAUCAGACAACAUUUUGGGUCAGUGGUAACCAAGUAUUUAUUGUUAAUUAUAAACAUGAAAAUAAGCAAAUAUUAAUAAAGC
This is a non-coding RNA of Paramuricea clavata, 589 nucleotides long. The record is from the annotation of a GenBank genome assembly. Lineage: Eukaryota; Metazoa; Cnidaria; Anthozoa; Malacalcyonacea; Plexauridae.